Molecule: ribosomal RNA, 197 nt
Filed under: uncultured bacterium
Lineage: Bacteria
Description: partial 16S ribosomal RNA
Rfam family: Bacterial small subunit ribosomal RNA
Source: RNAcentral
ACGCUCGACACCUACGGGAGGCAGCAGUGGGGAAUAUUGCACAAUGGGGGAAACCCUGAUGCAGCGACGCCGCGUGAGCGAAGAAGUAUUUCGGUAUGUAAAGCUCUAUCAGCAGGGAAGAAACUGACGGUACCUGACUAAGAAGCACCGGCUAAAUACGUGCCAGCAGCAGCGGUAAUCUGAGCGGCUGGCAAGGC